AGGCGUACUGCUGAGUAACACGUGGAUAAUCUCGCCCUUGGGUGGGGCAUAACCUCGGGAAACUGAGGCUAAUUCCCCAUAGGUUCUUGAUACUGCAAUGUGCUUGAACCAAAAGUUUCGGCGCCCAAGGAUGAGUCUGCGACUGAUCAGGCUGUUGGCGGGGUAAAGGCCCACCAAACCUUUGACCAGUAGGGGCAAUGAGAGUUGUAGCCCCCAGUCGGGUACUGAGAUACGGACCCGGGUCCUACGGGAUGCAGCAGGCGCGAAACCUCCGCAAUGCACGCAAGUGUGACGGGGGGACUCCAAGUGUCAUGGAUUUUUUCCAUGUCUUUUGCCAAGUGUAAAUAGCUUGUUGAAUAAGGGCUGGGUAAGACGGGUGCCAGCCGCCGCGGUAAUACCCGCAGCCCAAGUUGUCUGGAUUUUUACUGGGUCUAAAGCGUUCGUAGCCGGUCUUCUAAGUCCUUUGUGAAAUCUGGCAGCCCAACUGUCAGGCGUGCAGAGGAAACUAGGAGACUUGGGAAAGGGAGGAGCUAGGGGAACUCUAGGGGUAAGGGUGAAAUCUAAUAAUCCUUAGGGGACCACCAGUGGCGAAGGCGCCUAGCUAGAACUUUUCCGACGGUGAGGGACGAAAGCCAGGGGAGCAAACGGGAUUAGAUACCCCGGUAGUCCUGGCCGUAAAUGAUGUGAACUAGGUGUUGCGCGUCCUUUUUGGGCAUGCAGUGCCGAAGGUAAGCCG
RNAcentral lists this ribosomal RNA (736 nucleotides) under uncultured archaeon. Its description in RNAcentral is "bacterial SSU rRNA". It matches the Rfam family "Archaeal small subunit ribosomal RNA", at positions 79 to 814 of the family's 1478-position model. The record is from RNAcentral.